GCUCAAAUUUGAAAUCUUAAAGGGUUUCCCUUUACGAAUUGUAGUUUAAAGAAGUGUUUUCUGUUGAGGUUUUGGUAAAAGUUCUUUGGAAUAGGACAUCAUAGAGGGUGAGAAUCCCGUAUUUGACCUUUACUUUCAACUUUGUGAUACACUUUCAAAGAGUCGGAUUGUUUGGGAAUGCAGUCCAAAAUGGGUGGUAAAUUUCAUCUAAAGCUAAAUAUUGGCGAGAGACCGAUAGCGAACAAGUACCGUGAGGGAAAGAUGAAAAGAACUUUGAAAAGAGAGUUAAACAGUACGUGAAAUUGUCAAAAGGGAAGCGUUUGACACCAGUGUUGUUUUUCUGAAAAUCAAUUAAAGAACUGUUUAUGCUAAGUUGUUUAGACUUUAUCAGCUAACUGUUUAGUUUUGAGCUUUUCUUUAAUGCACUUUUCAGUUAACAAG
This 441-nucleotide ribosomal RNA is filed under the name uncultured Neocallimastigomycetes. RNAcentral describes it as "LSU rRNA". It matches the Rfam family "Eukaryotic large subunit ribosomal RNA", at positions 107 to 542 of the family's 3401-position model. The record is from RNAcentral. Lineage: Eukaryota; Fungi; Neocallimastigomycota; Neocallimastigomycetes.